CCUACGGGAGGCUGCAGUAGGGAAUUUUGCGCAAUGGGGGAAACCCUGACGCAGCAACGCCGCGUGAUCGAUGAAGCCCUUCGGGGUGUAAAGAUCUGUCAGUGGGGACGAAACCUGACGGUACCCACAGAGGAAGCACCGGCUAACUCCGUGCCAGCAGCCGCGGUAAUACGUAGGGGGCAAGCGUUGUUCGGAAUGACUGGGCGUAAAUGGUGUGUAGGCGGUGUAGCAAGUUAGAAGUGAAAUACCUAGAGCUUAACUCAGGUGCUGCUUCUAAAACUGCUAUACUUGAGUGCAGUAGAGGAAAGUGGAAUUCCUAGUGUAGCGGUGGAAUGCGUAGAUAGUAGGAGGAACAUCAGUGGCGAAGGCGACUUUCUGGACUGUAACUGACGCUGAGGCACGAAAGUGUGGGGAGCAAACAGGAUUAGAUACCCCUGUAGUC
Molecule: ribosomal RNA, 442 nt
Filed under: uncultured bacterium
Lineage: Bacteria
Description: partial 16S ribosomal RNA
Rfam family: Bacterial small subunit ribosomal RNA
Source: RNAcentral